AUAAAAACUUACAUACAUAUACAAACUCACGCGUGCACAUAGUCAAUUACUGCUAUAGUGUAGCACAUGGAUUAAUCCAUUUUUAUUUGUACUAAAAAAUUAUAAACAAUAUUAUAUAAUAAACAUACUUAUAUCUUUAUUUUUAUUAUAAAAAUAAGGAUGUAAUUAUAAUAACAAUCCCAUUUUUUUUUUUUUUCUUUUUUUUUUUACUACUUAAUACAUUCAUAUAUAAUCAUUUUUACAUAUUAACUAAAAAAAAGAUAGUUACAACGGAUUGAGGACAUAUAUGUAUAUAUAGAAAAGAAUGUUAAUAGAAAGUGCUGAACGACUUGAGGAAAAACAAAAGUUACGCCUUUUAAUUUUUACAAUUUGAUAUAUUUACCUAGACAAAAAAAAAAAAAAAAAAAAAAAAAAAGUAACAUAUAUAUCAACGUACAUACUUGUAAUAACAUGAAAACACACUGAAAACAGAAACUGACAUAAAGUUUAUUAUAAAAGUAAAAAAAAAGAGAAAAAAAAAAAAAAAAAAACACACAGACACAAUCACACACGCGUAUAUACAUUACCACCUUUACUUGAGGACACCCACAUUCACACAUGGUUUUAGUAACAUUGGUAAAAACAAACGUAAACAGUUAUGGUGACAGAGCACUAGUUAAAUUAAAAAAUUGUAAAAGAAAUAUAUGCACGAAAUGUAAAAAUAAAAGCUGUGGUAAUUAUUAUAUAUCAAGGAUAAAUACAAAUUUAGAAAUGCGUUCAAAGAAUGCAAAUACAUUAUUAACAAUAGGAAGGGUAAUCCAAAAAGCAUUGGGUAAAAAAAGUAAUAAACUUAAUAACAUAAUAAAUAAGAUAUCGAGUAAAGAUAUUUUUUUUGUAAAAAAUGAUGCUAUUAUUAGUGAUAAAAAUGAAACUCCCCUUAUAAAUAAAAUGAAAAACGGACUUUUUCAUUUAACCUAUACAAUUACUGAAAAAAAAAAUCCAUUUUAUGAAAUAAUAAAAAAAAAAAAAAGCCACAUUUAUAAUAAUAAAAUUCAACAGUUUAGUACUGUAAAUAAAAUAAAUAUAAAAAAAUCAUCUAAUUUUUUAAAACUAAAACCGAUUGAAAAAAAUGAACAUAUAAAGGAGAAAAUAGCCGAAAGUGACAGGAAUGAAAAAACAGAAAAUUGUAUGAAUGGAGAAAAGGACACGCACUUGAACGGGAGAACAACAAGAAGAACACACCUGAGCGGAAAAAAAAAUAGAUAUAUAUUUGUAAAAAGCAACUUGCGUCGUUCUUUAUUUUUAAAAACCCACAACAACGAAAAUAUACAUAAUAUAUUAAAUAUAUUAGAAAAACAUCAAAAGAAAGUAUCUCAAUUACAAUCAAUUCUUUUAAUUAAUUUAGCUGUCAUAAUAGGAAUAUGUAUUGUUGGCACAUAUUUUUUUAGUUCUGAUAGUAUGUUAAUAAAUAAAUAUAUUAUAAAAGAGAUUGAUAGAACAAUGAAAAAUAUAAAUCAUUCUGAAAGUAUAAAAGAACAAACACGUACAUUAAUAGAUAAUUUAUUAUAUAAUGUCACAUCUGAUGAAAAAAAUAAAGAAUUGUUUUCUAUUUUUUUAGUAAAUGUAUUAAAAAAUAGUCAAAAAGAAACAAGUGAUUUAUUACUUAAAAUGUUAGAAACAGAUUAUGUUAAAAAUAAAUUAAAACUUGUUUUUUUGGAUAUAUUUACAAACUUAUGUCAUAGUAAAGACAUGCAAAAAAGUGUAUACCAUUUGCUAUCUAAAGCUAUACAUUUACCUGUCGCUAUUAAUACAUCAAAAAUUUGGUUGAAUAAUUUAUUUAAUUCAAAAGAAGUGAAAGAAAAUUUAAGAAAUGUUGUAUUUAAAGAUAUAUUCCAAAAUGAUGAAAUGAUUAACAAAUCAAUUGAAUAUAUGCAAAAUGUUCUUUAUAGUACCUUGCAACAUAAUAAUACAAAAGAAAUAACAAAACUGUUUUUUUAUUCUAUUAUCUCUAGUCCUAAUUUUCAACAACAAUUAUCAGAAAACUUAUGGAAAAUAUUAAAGUUGACUAUUUCACCUAAGUGGAUAUAUUUUGAUCAACUUAAAAUGCCAGACAGGCAAGGAAAUGAUAGAAUGGCAGAGUUGGUGAUAGAUAGUGGUCUUGUUGGUAGUACAAGUGAAUUUGCUGUUGACAGUUUUAAAGACACUAUCAGUGAAAAAGUCAAUAACGACAUUAACGAGGGUGUUAAUGACAACGUUAAUGACAACGUUUGUAAUGUAAACGAAAAAGAAAUUAAUAACAACAAUAAUAGUCACACACAUGGCAAACAAGUGAUAAAUACUACGUCAGCUGUUAGCAGUGAUUUAGAUCGUGAAGAACAAGGUACGGACAACAGUGAUUCUGUCAAAAAUGUAGAACAUUAUGGAGAAAAUAAGAACUUAGAAAAAUUAAAAAAAGAAAUAAAACAAACUAUGGAGCUUUAUAAUAUGAAAACAGAAGAAGGUAAUAAUAACAGAAGUAUACCUGUUGAAGGAACUAACAGUGAUGGAAGAAGGAUUUCCAACCAGGUUAAUGUUAAUUCUGACAGUUCCAACCAUGUUAUUGCUAAACAAACUAGUUCCACUUCUCCCUCUUUAACAUAUAACCAAGACAUGCUUAAAGCGGAUAAUGUUUUAGAAAAAGUAAAAGAAACUUUAU
This 2674-nucleotide long non-coding RNA is filed under the name Piliocolobus tephrosceles (Ugandan red Colobus). RNAcentral describes it as "lncRNA (ENSPTEG00000010389.1)". The record is from RNAcentral. Lineage: Eukaryota; Metazoa; Chordata; Mammalia; Primates; Cercopithecidae.